Molecule: ribosomal RNA, 373 nt
Filed under: uncultured Nitrospina sp.
Lineage: Bacteria; Pseudomonadati; Nitrospinota; Nitrospinia; Nitrospinales; Nitrospinaceae
Description: bacterial SSU rRNA
Rfam family: Bacterial small subunit ribosomal RNA
Source: RNAcentral
AUGAACGCUGGCGGCGUGCUUAACACAUGCAAGUCGAACGAACCUUCGGGUUAGUGGCGCAAGGGUGAGUAUCACGUGAAUAAUCUGCCCUCGAGAUCGGGAUAACAUGGUGAAAACUAUGCUAAUACCGGAUAAGACCACAUUUCAUAAGAAAUGCGGUAAAAGGAGUCUCAAUCUUCACUCGAGGAUGAGUUCGCGCAACAUUAGCUUGUUGGUGAGAUAAAAGCUCACCAAGGCUACGAUGUUUAGCCGGCCUGAGAGGGUGAACGGCCACACUGGAACUGAGACACGGUCCAGACUCCUACGGGAGGCAGCAGUGGGGAAUAUUGCGCAAUGGGCGAAAGCCUGACGCAGCAACGCCGUGUGAGCGAUG